AAGUCGUAACAAGGUAUCCGUAGGUGAACCUGAGGAUGGAUCAUUAACACUAACAAAACAAAACCUUUGCUUUUCCUAAAAACAAAAGCAAUAACCCCAUAACUUUGCGAACUUGUCAACGGGGGAGAGGGAGGGAGGAUGGGAGGGGUUUGUGAGGGCUGCGUGCUCUCGCGUUUCUCCUUUCUUCUUCUUCUUUUUCUUCUUUCCCGUUCGUUUUUUCCUUCUCCUUUUCACCUUAUUCUAUCAAAACCCCAUCAAAUUAUUUGAUGAAUCGAAAAAAACAAAAACAAACUUGACUAAGACAUAAAACAAAUGAGAAAAACAAAAUAAUACAACUUUUAACGACGGAUCUCUUGGCUCUC
RNAcentral lists this unclassified non-coding RNA (362 nucleotides) under fungal sp. Its description in RNAcentral is "partial internal transcribed spacer region". The stretch from base 1 to 46 matches the Rfam family "Eukaryotic small subunit ribosomal RNA", at positions 1786 to 1831 of the family's 1831-position model. The record is from RNAcentral. Lineage: Eukaryota; Fungi.